UUGAACGCUGGCGGAAUGCUUUACACAUGCAAGUCGAGCGGCAGCGCGGGGGCAACCCUGGCGGCGAGCGGCGAACGGGUGAGUAACACAUCGGAACGUACCCAGUUGUGGGGGAUAGCCCGGCGAAAGCCGGAUUAAUACCGCAUACGACCUGAGGGUGAAAGGGGGGGAUCGCAAGACCUCUCGCAGUUGGAGCGGCCGAUGGCGGAUUAGCUAGUUGGUGGGGUAAAGGCCUACCAAGGCGACGAUCCGUAGCUGUCUGAGAGGACGACCAGCCACACUGGAACGGAGACACGGUCCAGACGCCUACGGGAGGCAGCAGUGGGGAAUUUUGGACAAUGGGGGCAACCCUGAUCCAGCCAUGCCGCGUGAGUGAAGAAGGCCUUCGGGUUGUAAAGCUCUUUCAGGAGGGAAGAAACGGUUGAGGCUAAUAUCCUUGACUAAUGACGGUACCUUCAGAAGAAGCACCGGCUAACUACGU
This 481-nucleotide ribosomal RNA is filed under the name uncultured bacterium. RNAcentral describes it as "bacterial SSU rRNA". It matches the Rfam family "Bacterial small subunit ribosomal RNA", at positions 29 to 506 of the family's 1533-position model. The record is from RNAcentral.